UGUGAAACCCUAACCUUGUACUCC
RNAcentral lists this non-coding RNA (24 nucleotides) under Arabidopsis thaliana (thale cress). The record is from RNAcentral. Lineage: Eukaryota; Viridiplantae; Streptophyta; Magnoliopsida; Brassicales; Brassicaceae.